GGGCAACGGCGGCGGGAAAGGCAUCCGCAGCAGGCGCCUCGCCGGGGUGCGCGGGGGAGGACUUGCGCGGGUACGCCGCGGAACCGCCGAAGAGGUGGUGCGCGGGGCUUAGGCUCGACCAUGGGGAGGAGGUGGGGCAUGCCGGACGUGGAGGGGAGGUGCACUGGGGUGCGGGGGAGGAGGAGGUGGAGGACGAGUGGGGAGUGCUCAAUAAAUGAGGGCAAAUCAGUCUUUGUUUGAUGAAGGAUUAAAAUUUAGCUCAUGGAUCCAAAUAGGUGGGCAGAACUAAAGUUUAGGAGCUAAAAUUUAGGGGCUAAAGUUUAGCCCAUGAACUAGUGAUCCAAACACCACCUUAGUUCAUAGAUAAAAUAGCUCACAUAAAGCAUAGUUUCAUCUUUUGCUAUUUCCAUGGCUAUAUGCAAGAUACAAAGAUAUUGGAAAUAGUGUACACAUGAUUUCAUCCUAUGAAAUAAUGUUCUUCUCUAACCUCAUAAGUAGCGUGCCAUGUCAUCAAAAUUAACUAUGGCAGCUCAUUUAUGGUCAAUUUCGUUGAAAAUGGCCUAAUCGUCUCUCGGUCUUUGGGGAAAAAAAGAACAGUAGUGCACCUACUUUUUACCGAGGUAAAUCACCAGAAAAAAAAGACUCCUCGUCAGCUAAACAUGUGCAGCAGUAGGAACGUGGUCGAAUUAGUUGUCAAUAAAAGCCACCUACGGGAAUCCUGCCGUCUAAGUUAGGCACACCUGGUCUCGGGUAGCUGCACGCUCGUACGUAU
This 772-nucleotide long non-coding RNA is filed under the name Setaria viridis. Its description in RNAcentral is "long non-coding RNA (SVIR_LNC007498)". Lineage: Eukaryota; Viridiplantae; Streptophyta; Magnoliopsida; Poales; Poaceae. The record is from RNAcentral.